CAAUAGCGUAUAUUAAAGUUGUUGCAGUUAAAAAGCUCGUAGUUGGAUUUCUGACCGAGACAUCAGGUCGGGUCCGAGAGGAUCAUGUACUUUGAUUUUGUUUUGAUCAUCCUUGGGGAGAGCAUUUCUGGCAUUCAGUUGUCGGGAUUGGGAUCCUCAUCGUUUACUGUGAAAAAAUUAGAGUGUUCAAAGCAGGCCUCGGCCUCUGAAUACAUUAGCAUGGAAUAAUAAGAUAGGACUUUGGUGGUCUAUUUUGUUGGUUUGCACGCCAAAGUAAUGAUUAAUAGGGAUAGUUGGGGGUAUUCGUAUUCAAUUGUCAGAGGUGAAAUUCUUGGAUUUAUGGAAGACGAACUACUGCGAAAGCAUUUACCAAGGAUGUUUUCAUUAA
RNAcentral lists this ribosomal RNA (388 nucleotides) under uncultured eukaryote. RNAcentral describes it as "partial 18S ribosomal RNA". It matches the Rfam family "Eukaryotic small subunit ribosomal RNA", at positions 592 to 976 of the family's 1831-position model. The record is from RNAcentral.